RNAcentral lists this unclassified non-coding RNA (3851 nucleotides) under Diabrotica virgifera virgifera (western corn rootworm). RNAcentral's name for it is "uncharacterized LOC126889248". Lineage: Eukaryota; Metazoa; Arthropoda; Insecta; Coleoptera; Chrysomelidae. The record is from RNAcentral.
GAAGGGGUAAACAGAUGAUCAGUUGUUUAUUUUUCGUUUACUGUGGUUUAACCGUUUAACCUCACUUAACUAGAUAGAUCGAGAAAUAUUAAAUUACUAUUACUAUUAUUCAGGUUGAAAAAUGCCUUCCUGUAAGGUAAAAGGUUGCGAAGUCGAUUGGGGAAAAAUAAUGUGAAAAUGAAUUCUUUCCCAAAAGAAUCUGAACGACGGAAAGUGUGGAUUAAAAAUAUAGGGUUAAAACAAGAUCCAAACAAAUAUGCUGUUGUUUGUGAAGUAAGUUCUUCAAGUAAAAUUAAUUGAGUAUUUGCAUUUGAUGCAUUCUCUUUAUAAUAUUUAUAUCAUUAAAAAAUAUUGUAUUCAAUUUUUGAAUGUUUAGGAACACUACUUCUGACAUGUGGAAAAAAGUUAGACAAGAUGGCAGCAGAAAAUUAAAAUGCAAUGCUGUACAACAAUAUUUAGAGAAGAAAGCGAAAGUAUUUAAUUAUUUAUAUUGGUUUUUUGUUUAUUCACCAAUUUAACACCUAUAGAUAUUUGUAUAACAAGAGAGCGAAGUGCACCUUUUCCUCCCAAGAAUAAAGUUUACUAGUUUACUACAGUAAUCAUUCAAGGGAGGAAAAGGCACUUCUCCCAUGUUAUACAUUUUUCCACCUCCCUCAAAUAAGUCAUUUUUUCAUUUUUAAAAUAUUUAUAUAACUGUUGAUUGAAUACAUGAAUCAUAAUUGAAUACAGGAAUUUGUGUAUUCAAUCAACAAUAGAAUUAACAAAAUUUAUUAGAGAACUAAAACUAACAAGUAGGUACAGUAUAACUAUCAAAUUAUUAAUGAAAAAUUUUUAAAUCAAAAUAACAAUUUACUGUUUUUACCAUUUUGCAACAUCUAUAAAUAAAAUUUAAAAUGUAUGGAUACUUACCUAAUAGAAAAUAGAGUAAUAGUAUAGGGUGUCAAUAAGUUAUUUCAUCUAUGCUAUGACAUAGUAUGACGUCAACAUCACUUUUACUUUUACUCCCUAGGGAUUAAAAGUACUUUGUUUCCCUAGGGAGAAAAAAAUAUGACUAUGCUCCCUACAAUAAGGCCAGGAAAUGUAUACUUUGGAUAGAGGUAGGUGGGAAAAUCUGUUUUAUUCAGUUAUUGUGAUUUGUUUCUUACAGACAAUCGGUUUGUUCUAGCACGAGUUUCAAACGGUCUGAAACCAUUAGCGAAUAGUGGACCAGCGCGAGUAGAGGGGAUAGCACUCGUAACUGUAUUAUGUUCUCUCACUGACCAACUGUUUGCUGACUAGUUCGACUGUUUGCUAGAACAAACCUAUUAUUCAAACAAAAUGUCCUCUACGUCAGACUGAUCAGAAUUUUAAAAAUGAGUCAUAUCAAUCAAAUCAAAAAAUUUCAAAAAUUGUUCCUGUAACCAUUUUUAGUGGAAAUAAUAACAGUACUUAUAUUGGAUCAGAGAGCCACCCAAUUCAUUGUUAAAGUAUGAUAAACUAAAAGUUAAACAAUUAGGCAUGCACUUCAUAUUAUAUUUAAUGAAAUAUAACCCACUGGUACUCGUACAAACUUGACGGCAAGCAAAUUCAACAAAUUUUUCCUCAUUUAUUAGUUUUUCACUACCGUUAAGUUUGGAAACAAGCGCUGUUGCCAAAUAAAAACAUAUACAGUCAGAAAAAUGAAAGAAUACCCAUGAACGAUCACAUCAAUCACAUAUUUUGUAUUUGCUGUUUUUUUUUUCAUAAAUAAUAAAUGAGAGAGAUAGAUUAUUAAUAAUCUGAAUAAUAUGUGAUUGAUGUGAUCGUUCAUGGGUAUUCUUUCAUUUUUUCGACAGUAUGUAUUUACCACAGCAACUACAGGUGACACUGUUUCUCUUUGUCUUUAAGAGUGUGAAACAAAGAUAACUACAGUGGGAAAAAUAAAGAAUACCCAUGAACGAUCACAUCGAUCACUUAUUUUGUGUUUCCUAUCUUUUUCUAUAACAAACAUUUAUUAUUUAUAGAAAAAGACAACAAACAUAAAUUAAGUGAUUGAUGUGAUCGUUCAUGGGUAUAGGGCUUUUCAUCGAUUGUCAUUUGUUUCGAGCUUCUGUCAUGUGUCACAUAAUAUUAAUAUAUCUACGUCAUACGUCUUUGGUUUGUAUCAUGGGUAUAUACCAAUAACGUAUGACGUAGAUAUAUUAAUAUUAUGUGACACAUGACAGAAGCUCGAAACAAAUGACUGUGAAUGAAAAGCCCUAUUCUUUCAUUUUUCCAACUGUAUCUGUAAUAUACGCUGAGCUCGUAGGUAGAGGGGAUAAUUAAAAAAUCGCGAGAGCCAGUAGUGACAAGUCUGUAAACCUUUACUGGAAAUUUGACAUAAAUGUCAAAGUGAAUAAUUUAAAAUUGAAAUUAAAAACAUUAAUUAGAAAAAAUAUUAGUUGGUCAAAGCUGUGGUAUAUAUUUUUAUCUUAAGUAUACUUACGGUUUAAAUACUGAAUUAAGUUUUUUUAAUAUUUUGUAAUACCUAUCUAAUUAUAAUUAGAUAUAAAUCAUCUAAGCGCCAUCUACACGAUAAUUGUGAAUGUAUCUGAAGUAAGAAAUUAAUAUUUCAUUAAGAGAACGUUAAAACAGUUAGCAAAAUUUUUAAAAAAUCGAUUACAAUUUAAUUACUUUUUUGCAUUGUAAAUAUUAAGCGAUAACAAUUAAAUCAUAAAUUUAAAAAUUACUGGUGAAAGUUGAAUUAGUAAUCCGCUAGGAGCGACACCAGCGAAGCUCAGAGCGUAUAAGUGGGUGCAUUUGGACGACCAUAGUGGCUGACUGUCAGCAGAAAUCGGCUGAGUGGUUGUAUCCAGCUGUGACAGGGAAAGCUUAGUAAAUCUCUCAGCGGCUGACUUCCAACGGUGACGUCUGACAGCUACUGCUGGCUCAGCUGUCCAGCCGCUGUGGUCAUCCGAACGCACCCAGUGUCAGUCAUGUUUUCCUGUAGUAUAAAAGGCUUAGAUAGAAGGUUAUGUAAGAUUUUUGUUUGUUUAUUUUUUCUUCUUCUUCUGUGGCCUUUGGAAGCUGUGCCCAUUUAGCCAGCAACAUUUCUUAAAAUUAAUGCCUAACUAAACCUACCAUACAAGAAAACCAUUAUGAACCUAAACGACCAAUCAAGGAUACGGAAGGGAAAGUAAAGUUAUUUAAAAAAUAAACUGUUGUUAAAAUAUAAACUAAAUAAAUAAAAUAUAAAUUGAAAACAAUAAUUUGACAUUAUAAAUGUAACCUCCAAUAUUAUGACAGACGUCAGUUACCAUGACAUCAUAUAUUAUACUCAUCGCUAAUUCUAGCCAAUGAAAUGCUUGCUGUAAUAGGAAUGGCAUAUCAAAAAAAUCUGACUAUUCUCUAUAUAUUUUUUCAAAUUUAGAAUAUGGCAACAAGGGGAAAGUUAUGUGCAUUCCUCAUUGUUUGACUUUUCCUAUAUCUUUAGUAUCAGGUCAUCGUACAAUACAAAUACUUCUUGCAAUGAUUGGAAGUAAUGCAGAACAAGAAUUGAAUUUGGAAUCGCCGAGAAAAAGGAUUGGUGUACAAAAUAAGAAAGUAUAUAAAGGACAACAAACAUCUUCCAUAAGCGAUCAAAAUUGUAUAACUGAAAUUCAGGAAAUAGAUUCUGCUCCACCUUUAGAAAAACUGUAAAUAGUAACGAUUUUGAAUGAGUGAGAAGUCUAAUAAAGCCACGACGAGAUACUGUAUUAGAGCGUACGAUUUGGAGGUAUUUUUGAUUAGAUACAUUUUGUAAAGUACAAUAUAAAUUAGAUUUGAUAAUGUGUAGUAUUUCCUAAUAAAUUAAAUACUAUUAAGUGUUUAUUGUUCUUGUAAGUUAGUGUGGUAAAUAAAUAAUAUGAAGUAAG